Molecule: ribosomal RNA, 819 nt
Filed under: marine metagenome
Description: bacterial SSU rRNA
Rfam family: Bacterial small subunit ribosomal RNA
Source: RNAcentral
AGAGUUGAUCAUGGCUCAGAUUGAACGCUGGCGGCAAGCCUCAUACAUGCAAGUCGAGCGAGAACGUUACUUCGGUAGCUAGUAAAGCGGCGGACGGGUGAGUAACGCGUAGGAAUCUACCUUUCAGCGGGGGAUAGCUCGGGGAAACCCGAAUUAAUACCGCAUACACCCUAAGGGGGAAAGAGGGCCUAUCCUUGGAAGCUCUCGCUGUUAGAUGAGCCUGCGUGAGAUUAGUUUGUUGGUGGGGUAAUGGCCUACCAAGACUACGAUCUCUAGCUGGUCUGAGAGGACGAUCAGCCACACUGGGACUGAGACACGGCCCAGACUCCUACGGGAGGCAGCAGUAGGGAAUAUUGGACAAUGGGGGCAACCCUGAUCCAGCUAUGCCGCGUGUGUGAAGAAGGCUCUAGGGUUGUAAAGCACUUUAGGUAAGGACGAAAAGAAUAUAAUUAAUACCUAUAUUCCGUGACUUAACUUACAGAAUAAGGACCGGCUAACUCCGUGCCAGCAGCCGCGGUAAUACGGAGGGUCCAAGCGUUAAUCGGAAUUACUGGGCGUAAAGCGCGCGUAGGCGGUUUGUCAAGUUGGAUGUGAAAUCCCUGGGCUCAACCUAGGAACUGCAUUCAAAACUUAUAGACUAGAGUACGAUAGAGGAGAGUAGAAUUCCUGGUGUAGCGGUGAAAUGCGUAGAUAUCAGGAGGAAUACCAAUGGCGAAGGCAACUCUCUGGAUCGACACUGACGCUGAGGUGCGAAAGCGUGGGUAGCAAACAGGAUUAGAUACCCUGGUAGUCCACGCCGUAAACGAUGAGAACUAGCCG